This 736-nucleotide ribosomal RNA is filed under the name uncultured bacterium. RNAcentral describes it as "bacterial SSU rRNA". It matches the Rfam family "Bacterial small subunit ribosomal RNA", at positions 8 to 760 of the family's 1533-position model. The record is from RNAcentral.
AGAGUUUGAUCAUGGCUCAGAGUGAACGCUGGCGGCGUGCUUAACACAUGCAAGUCGAACGAUGAAGCUUUAGCUUGCUAGAGUGGAUUAGUGGCGCACGGGUGAGGAAUAUAUAGCUAAUGUGCCCCUUAGAGGGGGAUAACAGUUGGAAACGACUGCUAAUACCCCAUACUCCUUCUUACUAUAAGGUAAGUUGGGAAAGUUUUUUCGCUAAGGGAUCGGGCUAUACGGUAUCAGCUUGUUGGUGAGGUAAUGGCUCACCAAGGCUAUGACGCCUAUCUGGUCUGAGAGGAUGAUCAGACACACUGGAACUGAGACACGGUCCAGACUCCUACGGGAGGCAGCAGUGGGGAAUAUUACACAAUGGAGGAAACUCUGAUGUAGCAACGCCGCGUGGAGGAUGACACAUUUCGGUGCGUAAACUCCUUUUAUAUGGGAAGAUAAUGACGGUACCAUAUGAAUAAGCACCGGCUAACUCCGUGCCAGCAGCCGCGGUAAUACGGAGGGUGCAAGCGUUACUCGGAAUCACUGGGCGUAAAGCGCGCGCAGGCGGCCCGUUAAGUUGGAUGUGAAAUCCUAUGGCUCAACCAUAGAACUGCAUCCAAAACUGAUGGGCUAGAGUCUGGGAGGGGAAGAUGGAAUUAGUGGUGUAGGGGUAAAAUCCGUAGAGAUCACUAGGAAUACCAAAAAGCGAAGGCGAUCUUCUGGAACAGUACUGACGCUGACGCGCGAAAGC